AUUGUAUUAGAGAUAUUUUAUUAUACACAGAGAGACCGUCCAAGUGUGAACGCGAGGAAUUGUUUUGGUAUUCUAUUAUAUUUUGUGGCCUGGUUGGCGAUUUUGAAAGCGGAAACAACUGAUACGGAUUAGCUGUGUCUCAUUCGGGACGACUGCUGUCGACUUGAUGUAACCUCAUUAUAACUGAAAGAGACAGUAAGAGGCAAGGUGUGUAUCACUGUUCCCAAAUGGUUACCCAUCCGCGAACCAACAUCACAUAUAAUAGCUGAACAUCAGCGUUAAGACGGCGACUGAAUGAUCCACUGCGCCACAGCACGUCCUUAAAUGUAUAUUCUAUUAAGGUUGAUGAAAUUUGACAAGACAACAAGACGUUCUAAUUUGGCAGAUUUAAAAAGGAUGGAUCAGAAACCCUGGAUAAGACUGAUAUAUAUUCUGUGUAUAUUUUAUUCUUAAGAUUUCCUGCCUGUAGAAAAAUAUUGACAAUCCGUCAUUGAUUUCAAAUAUUUAACAUGCUUGAAUAAAGUUUAUAUUAUU
Molecule: long non-coding RNA, 534 nt
Organism: Daktulosphaira vitifoliae (grape phylloxera)
Lineage: Eukaryota; Metazoa; Arthropoda; Insecta; Hemiptera; Phylloxeridae
Exons: 3
Source: RefSeq, a predicted model, not a curated record